This 508-nucleotide ribosomal RNA is filed under the name uncultured bacterium. Its description in RNAcentral is "bacterial SSU rRNA". It matches the Rfam family "Bacterial small subunit ribosomal RNA", at positions 40 to 507 of the family's 1533-position model. The record is from RNAcentral.
CGGCGUGCCUAAUACAUGCAAGUCGAACGCACUCUCGUUUAGAUUGAAGGAGCUUGCUCCUGAUUGAUAAACAUUUGAGUGAGUGGCGGACGGGUGAGUAACACGUGGGUAACCUGCCCUAAAGUGGGGGAUAACAUUUGGAAACAGAUGCUAAUACCGCAUAAAACCUAACACCGCAUGGUGUAGGGUUGAAAGAUGGUUUCGGCUAUCACUUUAGGAUGGACCCGCGGUGCAUUAGUUAGUUGGUGAGGUAAAGGCUCACCAAGACCGUGAUGCAUAGCCGACCUGAGAGGAUAAUCGGCCACACUGGGACUGAGACACGGCCCAGACUCCUACGGGAGGCAGCAGUAGGGAAUCUUCCACAAUGGACGAAAGUCUGAUGGAGCAACGCCGCGUGAGUGAAGAAGGUUUUCGGAUCGUAAAACUCUGUUGUUGGAGAAGAAUGUAUCUGAUAGUAACUGAUCAGGUAGUGACGGUAUCCAACCAGAAAGCCACGGCUAACUACGUG